UACGUAGGGAGCAAGCGUUAUCCGGAUUUACUGGGUGUAAAGGGCGCGCAGGCGGGCCGGCAAGUUGGAAGUGAAAUCUAUGGGCUUAACCCAUAAACUGCUUUCAAAACUGCUGGUCUUGAGUGAUGGAGAGGCAGGCGGAAUUCCGUGUGUAGCGGUGAAAUGCGUAGAUAUACGGAGGAACACCAGUGGCGAAGGCGGCUUGCUGGACAUUAACUGACGCUGAGGCGCGAAAGCGUGGGGAGCAAACAGG
Molecule: ribosomal RNA, 253 nt
Filed under: Agathobaculum desmolans
Lineage: Bacteria; Bacillati; Bacillota; Clostridia; Eubacteriales; Butyricicoccaceae
Description: partial 16S ribosomal RNA
Rfam family: Bacterial small subunit ribosomal RNA
Source: RNAcentral